Molecule: long non-coding RNA, 225 nt
Organism: Dreissena polymorpha
Lineage: Eukaryota; Metazoa; Mollusca; Bivalvia; Myida; Dreissenidae
Exons: 4
Source: RefSeq, a predicted model, not a curated record
AGACGCGGCACCAAAAAGUUCCAUCGGAUAUGGAUUUUGCGUUUUCACGUUAGAGGCACUGACUGUCGUGGAGAAAAACAUCCAAGAUACCUUUUCAGAAAACGGGAACCACCCUUUGGUAAAGCUCGUAGCUAACGAAAAGCUGAAAUCAGCUUACAAGAAGAACAAAAGACUAGUUUCAUCGUAUACAGAAUCCGUCCUCGUCAAGGAAGCGUGUUCAGUGAU